Long non-coding RNA from Dermacentor silvarum, 388 nucleotides. RefSeq lists it as uncharacterized. Lineage: Eukaryota; Metazoa; Arthropoda; Arachnida; Ixodida; Ixodidae. The record is from RefSeq and is a predicted model, not a curated record. The transcript is spliced from 2 exons.
CAUCACUGGCAGGUCGCGUAUGUUGUCUCAAGGUAGAAAGCAAGCGCGUGGGCGCCAAUAUACGAUGACUCAUUCAAUUUCCCGAGGACACGCACCCUAGCUAAUGAAGCAGACGACAGUCUGCGCGCAUGCAGACGACGGAAGCGAGAAACGAUUUUGAUGGAAUAAUCGUACCCUUUGAGCUAGCUGCUUUAUUUUUGCUGGGGAGGAAAACUGUUUUGCUUUAUCAACCACGCUAUGUUCAAUGCCUACAUUACAGUUUCUUAGGCGAAACGUCAAAUUUGCGUCACGUUACGAAAGCAAAUCGGGGCUAUCGGCGCCAUUUUGUAAGCGUCGCGCGUACGUCACGCUUCGAAGAAAAUGGCGGAAUGUCCAGAAUAGCGGCUCA